GAUGAACGCUGGCGGCGUGCCUAACACAUGCAAGUCGAACGAAGCAAUUAAAAUGAAGUUUUCGGAUGGAUUUUGAAUUGACUGAGUGGCGGACGGGUGAGUAACGCGUGGGUAACCUGCCUCAUACAGGGGGAUAACAGUUAGAAAUGACUGCUAAUACCGCAUAAGCGCACGGAUUCGCAUGAAUCUGUGUGAAAAACUCCGGUGGUAUGAGAUGGACCUGCGUCUGAUUAGCUGGUUGGCGGGGUAACGGCCCACCAAGGCGACGAUCAGUAGCCGACCUGAGAGGGUGACCGGCCACAUUGGGACUGAGACACGGCCCAA
This 324-nucleotide ribosomal RNA is filed under the name uncultured bacterium. RNAcentral describes it as "bacterial SSU rRNA". It matches the Rfam family "Bacterial small subunit ribosomal RNA", at positions 28 to 334 of the family's 1533-position model. The record is from RNAcentral.